GCGGGUGUAGCUCAGGGGUAGAGCGCAACCUUGCCAAGGUUGAUGUCGAGAGUUCGAAUCUCUUCACCCGCUCCA
Molecule: transfer RNA, 75 nt
Filed under: Alphaproteobacteria bacterium
Lineage: Bacteria; Pseudomonadati; Pseudomonadota; Alphaproteobacteria
Also listed under: 2 other names
Description: tRNA-Gly
Rfam family: tRNA
About the family: Transfer RNA (tRNA) molecules are approximately 80 nucleotides in length. Their secondary structure includes four short double-helical elements and three loops (D, anti-codon, and T loops).
Source: RNAcentral